RNAcentral lists this ribosomal RNA (330 nucleotides) under uncultured eukaryote. RNAcentral describes it as "partial 18S ribosomal RNA". It matches the Rfam family "Eukaryotic small subunit ribosomal RNA", at positions 1470 to 1796 of the family's 1831-position model. The record is from RNAcentral.
CCCUUAGAUGUUCUGGGCCGCACGCGCGCUACACUGAUGCAUUCAACGAGUCUAAAACCUGGUCUGAUAGGGCUGGGUAAUCUUUUGAAUGUGCAUCGUGAUUGGGAUAGAUGAUUGCAAUUCUUCAUCUUCAACGAGGAAUGCCUAGUAAACGCAAGUCAUCAGCUUGCAUUGAUUACGUCCCUGCCCUUUGUACACACCGCCCGUCGCUCCUACCGAUUGAAUGUUCCGAUGAAUACCAUGGACUGAGAGUAUGAAUGGGUUCGCCUAUUUCUGCUUCUCGGGAAGUGGAGUAAAUCUUAACAUUUAGAGGAAGGUGAAGUCGUAACA